UGCAAGUCGAGUGCGCGUUUCUGUAGCAAUACAGGAAUGGCGCACGGCGCACGGGUGCGUAACACGUGGGUAAUCUGCCCUCUGAUGGGGAAUAACCCGCCGAAAGGCGGGCUAAUUCCGCAUAACAUUCCUUGGACUCUGGUUCGAGGAUUCAAAGGCGUAAGUCGUCGGAGGUGGAGCCCGCGCCCGAUUAGCUAGUUGGUGAGGUAACGGCUCACCAAGGCAAUGAUCGGUAGCUGGUCUGAGAGGAUGGCCAGCCACACUGGAACUGAGACACGGUCCAGACUCCUACGGGAGGCAGCAGUGGGGAAUCUUGCACAAUGGGCGAAAGCCUGAUGCAGCGACGCCGCGUGGGGGAUGAAGCUUCUCGGAGUGUAAACCCCUCUCGACCCGGACGAAUGCCCCGCAAGGGGAGUGACGGUACGGGUAUAAGAAGCCCCGGCUAACUACGUGCCAGCAGCCGCGGUAAGACGUAGGGGGCCAGCGUUGUUCGGAAUUACUGGGUGUAAAGGGUUCGUAGGCGGUGUAGCAAGUUGGGAGUGAAAUCUCUGGGCUCAACUCAGAGGCUGCUUCCAAAACUGCUGUGCUGGAGUGUGGGAGAGGCGCGUGGAAUUGCAGGUGUAGCGGUGAAAUGCGUAGAUAUCUGCAGGAACACCCGUGGCGAAAGCGGCGCGCUGGACCACUACUGACGCUGAGGAACGAAAGCUAGGGGAGCAAACAGGAUUAGAUACCCUGGUAGUCCUAGCCCUAAACGAUCAGGACUUGGGGUGCCACCCGUUCGGGUGUCGUCCCGGAGCUAACGCGUUAAGUCCUGCACCUGGGGAGUACGGUCGCAAGACUGAAACUCGAAUUGACGGGGGCCCGCACAAGCGGUGGAACAUGU
Molecule: ribosomal RNA, 883 nt
Filed under: uncultured bacterium
Lineage: Bacteria
Description: bacterial SSU rRNA
Rfam family: Bacterial small subunit ribosomal RNA
Source: RNAcentral